GGGGAUGUAGCUCAGUGGCAUAAGCGCCUGCCUUGCAAGCAGGUGGUCGUGAGUUCGAUCCCCGGUACCA
RNAcentral lists this transfer RNA (70 nucleotides) under Cavia porcellus (domestic guinea pig). It matches the Rfam family "tRNA". Rfam says of the family: Transfer RNA (tRNA) molecules are approximately 80 nucleotides in length. Their secondary structure includes four short double-helical elements and three loops (D, anti-codon, and T loops). The record is from Rfam by way of RNAcentral. Lineage: Eukaryota; Metazoa; Chordata; Mammalia; Rodentia; Caviidae.